UACGGAGGGGGCUAGCGUUGUUCGGAAUUACUGGGCGUAAAGCGCGCGUAGGCGGACCUGCAAGUCGGGGGUGAAAGUCCGAGGCUCAACCUCGGAACUGCCUUCGAUACUGCGGGUCUCGAGUCCGGGAGAGGUGAGUGGAAUUCCUAGUGUAGAGGUGAAAUUCGUAGAUAUUAGGAAGAACACCAGUGGCGAAGGCGGCUCACUGGCCCGGUACUGACGCUGAGGUGCGAAAGCUUGGGGAGCAAACAGG
Molecule: ribosomal RNA, 253 nt
Filed under: uncultured bacterium
Lineage: Bacteria
Description: partial 16S ribosomal RNA
Rfam family: Bacterial small subunit ribosomal RNA
Source: RNAcentral